This 497-nucleotide ribosomal RNA is filed under the name uncultured bacterium. RNAcentral's name for it is "partial 16S ribosomal RNA". It matches the Rfam family "Bacterial small subunit ribosomal RNA", at positions 28 to 507 of the family's 1533-position model. The record is from RNAcentral.
GAUGAACGCUGGCGGCGUGCCUAAUACAUGCAAGUCGAGCGAACAGACGAGGAGCUUGCUCCUUUGACGUUAGCGGCGGACGGGUGAGUAACACGUGGGUAACCUACCUAUAAGACUGGGAUAACUUCGGGAAACCGGAGCUAAUACCGGAUAAUAUUUCGAACCGCAUGGUUCGAUAGUGAAAGAUGGCUUUGCUAUCACUUAUAGAUGGACCUGCGCCGUAUUGGCUGGUUGGUAAGGUAACGGCUUACCAAGGCAACGAUCCGUAGCCGACCUGAGAGGGUGGUCGGCCACACUGGAACUGAGACGCGGUCCAGACGCCUACGGGAGGCAGCAGUAGGGAAUCGUCCGCAAUGGGCGAAAGCAUGACGGAGCAGGGCCACGCGAGUGAUGGAGGUCUUCGGUGCGUAAAACUCUGUUAUGAGGGAAGAACAAACGUGGAAGGAACUGUGCACGUCGUGACGGUACCUAAUCAGAAAGCCACGGCUAACUACGUG